Molecule: ribosomal RNA, 481 nt
Filed under: uncultured bacterium
Lineage: Bacteria
Description: partial 16S ribosomal RNA
Rfam family: Bacterial small subunit ribosomal RNA
Source: RNAcentral
GAUGAACGCUGGCGGCGUGCUUAACACAUGCAAGUCGAACGAAGCACUUUAUUUGAUUUCCUUCGGGACUGAUUAUUUUGUGACUGAGUGGCGGACGGGUGAGUAACGCGUGGGUCACCUGCCUUUUACAGGGGGCUAACAGUUGGAAACGGCUGCUAAUACCGCAUAAGCGCACAGCAUCGCAUGCUGCAGUGUUAAAAACUCCGGUGGUAUACGAUGGACCCGCGUUGGAUUAGCUAGUUGGUGAGGUAACGGCCCACCAAGGCGACGAUGCAUAGCCGACAUGAGAGAGUGACUGGCGACAUUGGGACUGAGACACAGUCGAAAAUCUUACGGGAGGCAGGAGUGGGGAAUAUUGCAAAAUGGGGGAAAGGAUGAUGGAGCGACGACGGGUGAGCGAAGAAGUAUUGCGGUAUGUAAAGCGCAAUCAGCAGGGAAGAUAAUGACGGUACCUGACCAAGAAGCACCGGCUAAAUACGUG